UACGGAGGGUGCGAGCGUUGUCCGGAUUUAUUGGGUCUAAAGGGUGCGUAGGCGGCCCGAUAAGUCAGCGGUGAAAGACCCCGGCUCAACCGGGGGGUUGCCGUUGAUACUGUCGGGCUUGGGUACGGUCUGGGUACAUGGAAUUGGUGGUGUAGCGGUGAAAUGCAUAGAUACCAUCAGGAACACCGAUAGCGUAGGCAUUGUACUGGGCCGUUACCGACGCUGAUGCACGAAAGCGCGGGUAG
RNAcentral lists this ribosomal RNA (245 nucleotides) under uncultured Mariniradius sp. RNAcentral describes it as "partial 16S ribosomal RNA". It matches the Rfam family "Bacterial small subunit ribosomal RNA", at positions 524 to 768 of the family's 1533-position model. Lineage: Bacteria; Pseudomonadati; Bacteroidota; Cytophagia; Cytophagales; Cyclobacteriaceae. The record is from RNAcentral.